AACGAACGCUGGCGGCGUGCCUAACACAUGCAAGUCGAGCGCGAAAGCAGCAAUGCAAGUAGAGCGGCGCACGGGUGCGUAACACGUGGGUAAUCUGCCUCGAAGCCUGGGAUAACCUGAUGAAAGUUAGGCUAAUACCGGAUAAGCUUCCGGGGUCUUCGGACUCUGGGGGAAAAGUAGGCCACUGUUUACAUGCUUACACUUUGAGAUGAGCCCGCGGCCCAUCAGCUAGUUGGCGGGGUAAUGGCCCACCAAGGCUACGACGGGUAGCUGGUCUGAGAGGACGAUCAGCCACACUGGAACUGAGACACGGUCCAGACUCCUACGGGAGGCAGCAGUGGGGAAUUUUGCACAAUGGGCGAAAGCCUGAUGCAGCAACGCCGCGUGUGUGAUGAAGGUUUUCGGAUCGUAAAGCACUUUCGACCGGGAAGAAAAACCUCUGGCUAACAUCCAGGGGCCUGACGGUACCGGGAGAAGAAGCACCGGCUAACUCUGUG
Molecule: ribosomal RNA, 497 nt
Filed under: uncultured organism
Description: bacterial SSU rRNA
Rfam family: Bacterial small subunit ribosomal RNA
Source: RNAcentral